AUUGAACGCUGGCGGCAGGCUUAACACAUGCAAGUCGAGCGGAGUGAUGGUGCUUGCACUAUCACUUAGCGGCGGACGGGUGAGUAAUGCUUAGGAAUCUGCCUAUUAGUGGGGGACAACAUCUCGAAAGGGAUGCUAAUACCGCAUACGUCCUACGGGAAAAAGCAGGGGAUCCCUUGUGACCUUGCGCUAAUAGAUGAGCCUAAGUCGGAUUAGCUAGUUGGUGGGGUAAAGGCCUACCAAGGCGACGAUCUGUGGCGGGUCUGAGAGGAUGAUCCGCCACACUGGGACUGAGACACGGCCCAGACUCCUACGGGAGGCAGCAGUGGGGAAUAUUGGACAAUGGGGGGAACCCUGAUCCAGCCAUGCCGCGUGUGUGAAGGAGGCCUUAUGGUUGUAAAGCACUUUAAGCGAGGAGGAGGCUCUUUUGGUUAAUACCCAAGAUGAGUGGACGUUACUCGCAGAAUAAGCACCGGCUAACUCUGUGCCAGCAGCCGCAGUAA
This 503-nucleotide ribosomal RNA is filed under the name uncultured bacterium. RNAcentral's name for it is "partial 16S ribosomal RNA". It matches the Rfam family "Bacterial small subunit ribosomal RNA", at positions 30 to 523 of the family's 1533-position model. The record is from RNAcentral.